GGGAAAAGGAGGCGGGACGAAGGCACGGCAGCAGAGGCUGAAAGUACAAUUUUCACUGAUUUACUAUAUCUACAUCCCUUUGGUGAUAUACCCCAAGGACAUAAUGUUUCAUGGCAGCGUAAUAAAGCUAGUGCUGAGCCUUCCUCCUCCACCUUAGAAGACUGCAGUGACCUCAUAAUUGAUGUAUUUUCCUCCUAUCAACAUCCACACCACUGAUGGAACCAUCAUCUCUAAACAUGUUCUCCUCUUUGGAUUCUUCCAUUGCUUCCUGACUGUUCCAAAACAACCCCCAGCUUCAAUCAAGGACAGUUUCUUUACAGUCUCUUUACAGUAGGGCAGUUUCUUUACAGUAGGCUAAGCUGAACCCUUCUUGGGAUCUAGUCAAUUUCCAACAUCCAAACUGACCUUUCAGUGUAUUCAGAUUAUAACUGUUUCCUGGAGCUCACCUCAGUUCCCACUCUUUCAUUCAUUUCAGGAGGCAAGAGGCACUUGGUUUGGAGAUUGGUUACAUGUUAAACAGAAUUCUUUACUUUUCUGAGCAUAUAAAUUGAAUUUACCCAAAGACUUACAAAUUCUACAAGUGAUGGGACCAUGCAGUAUACUUUUGUGUGUAUAUCCCAUGUCACAUACUACAUUGUUUAGCAUAUAAUCGCCUCAGAAAAUAUUGUUGAAUUGAUUGAAUUUAAGUAGUUAUCACAAAACUAAUCUGUUAAUUCAUUACCAGAACUACUAGGAUUCUGGUA
This is a long non-coding RNA of Physeter macrocephalus (sperm whale), 743 nucleotides long. RefSeq lists it as uncharacterized. The record is from RefSeq and is a predicted model, not a curated record. The transcript has 3 exons. NCBI's taxonomy places the organism in Eukaryota, Metazoa, Chordata, Mammalia, Artiodactyla, Physeteridae.